This 391-nucleotide unclassified non-coding RNA is filed under the name soil metagenome. Its description in RNAcentral is "partial contains 5.8S ribosomal RNA, internal transcribed spacer 2, and large subunit ribosomal RNA". The stretch from base 1 to 122 matches the Rfam family "5.8S ribosomal RNA", at positions 35 to 154 of the family's 154-position model. The record is from RNAcentral.
GAUGAAGAACGCAGCGAAAUGCGAUACUUGGUGUGAAUUGCAGAAUCCCGUGAACCAUCGAGUCUUUGAACGCAAGUUGCGCCCGAAGCCACUAGGCCGAGGGCACGCCUGCCUGGGCGUCACACGCCGUUGCCCCCCCAUCUACUCCUUCGGGAUUGCGGGGGGGCGGAUGAUGGCCUCCUGUGCGCCUAGCCGCGCGGUUGGCAUAAAUACCAAGUCCUCGGCGACGCACGCCACGACAAUCGGUGGUUGCGAAACCUCGGUUGCCCGUCGUGUGCGUUCGUCGCGCAUCGAGGGCUCGAAAAAAUGCUCGGCUCCGGCUGGGCUUUCAACGCGACCCCAGGUCAGGCGGGGUUACCCGCUUAAUUUAAGCAUAUCAAUAAGCGGAGGA